Molecule: long non-coding RNA, 293 nt
Organism: Rhipicephalus microplus (southern cattle tick)
Lineage: Eukaryota; Metazoa; Arthropoda; Arachnida; Ixodida; Ixodidae
Source: RefSeq, a predicted model, not a curated record
ACUUCCAACCCCUGCGAUGAUCUCCGAGCCAACGAAUGUCCAGAAGGCUAUUUCCGUAGAUGCCGCAGUGACAUCAACGGUUGUAGUUGCCGGUGCGAUGUUUAGCAGCAACCAAUGCCCAGGCAAGCUGUGAUCAUAUUCACUAUAUCAUUUUAGUUCAAUAGGAAAAUUGCUUCGACCGGCUCAUAUUAGCGGCGGCUUCACUUAACUCUCUUCAACUGGUGUGAUAGGGGAUGACUUUUUAAAAAAGUUUACUUACAGUCUUUAAUAAAGAAGCUGAGCUUUUUUUCAGA